UUCGCAAUGCCCGAAAGGGUGACGAAGCGACGCCGCGUGUGGGAAGAAGGCCUUCGGGUUGUAAACCACUGUCGGGAGUUAAGAAAUGCAAGGAUAUUAAUAGUGUCUUUGUUUGACUAAGGCUCCGGAGGAAGCCACGGCUAACUCUGUGCCAGCAGCCGCGGUAAUACAGAGGCGGCAAGCGUUGUUCGGAAUUAUUGGGCGUAAAGAGCACGUAGGCGGCUACACAGUCGGUUGUGAAAGCCUUCCGCUCAACGGAAGAACAGCAUCCGAUACUACAUGGCUUGAGUGCGGGAGGGGAGAGUGGAACUUCUGGUGGAGCGGUGAAAUGCGUACACAUCAGAAGGAACGCCGGCGGCGAAAGCGGCUCUCUGGCCCAUAACUGACGCUGAGUGUGCGAAAGCUAGGGGAGCAAACGGGAUUAGAUACCCCGGUAGUCCUAGACAUAAACGAUGGGCACUAAGUAGAGGGGUUUUA
Molecule: ribosomal RNA, 477 nt
Filed under: uncultured Planctomycetales bacterium
Lineage: Bacteria; Pseudomonadati; Planctomycetota; Planctomycetia; Planctomycetales
Description: bacterial SSU rRNA
Rfam family: Bacterial small subunit ribosomal RNA
Source: RNAcentral